AGUUUGAUCCUGGCUCAGGAUGAACGCUAGCGGCAGGCUUAAUACAUGCAAGUCGUGGGGCAGCACAGGUAGCAAUACUGGGUGGCGACCGGCAAACGGGUGCGGAACACGUACGCAACCUUCCUUUAACUGGAGAAUAGCCCCUCGAAAGAGGGAUUAAUACUCCGUAACAUCCCGAUGUGGCAUCACAACGGGAUUAUAGCUCCGGCGGUUAAAGAUGGGCGUGCGCCUGAUUAGAUAGUUGGCGGGGUAACGGCCCACCAAGUCUGCGAUCAGUAACUGGUGUGAGAGCACGACCAGUCACACGGGCACUGAGACACGGGCCCGACUCCUACGGGAGGCAGCAGUAAGGAAUAUUGGUCAAUGGACGCAAGUCUGAACCAGCCAUGCCGCGUGGAGGAUUAAGGCCCUCUGGGUUGUAAACUCCUUUUAUCUGGGAAGAAAUCCACGAAUUCUUUUGUGGUUGACGGUACCAGAGGAAUAAGCACCGGCUAACUCCGUGCCAGCAGCCGCGGUAAUACGGAGGGUGCAAGCGUUAUCCGGAUUCACUGGGUUUAAAGGGUGCGUAGGCGGGCAGGUAAGUCCGUGGUGAAAUCUCUGAGCUUAACUCAGAAACUGCCAUGGAUACUAUUUGUCUUGAAUGUUGUGGAGGUAAGCGGAAUAUGUCAUGUAGCGGUGAAAUGCUUAGAUA
This 691-nucleotide ribosomal RNA is filed under the name uncultured Sphingobacteriales bacterium. RNAcentral describes it as "bacterial SSU rRNA". It matches the Rfam family "Bacterial small subunit ribosomal RNA", at positions 10 to 696 of the family's 1533-position model. Lineage: Bacteria; Pseudomonadati; Bacteroidota; Sphingobacteriia; Sphingobacteriales. The record is from RNAcentral.